GAUGAAGAACGUAGCGAAAUGCGAUAAGUAGUGUGAAUUGCAGAAUUCAGUGAAUCAUCGAAUCUUUGAACGCACAUUGCGCCCCUUGGUAUUCCAAGGGGCAUGCCUGUUCGAGCGUCAUUUGUACCUUCAAGCUCUGCUUGGUGUUGGGUGUUUGUCUCGCCUCUGCGUGUAGACUCGCCUUAAAACAAUUGGCAGCCGGCGUAUUGAUUUCGGAGCGCAGUACAUCUCGCGCUUUGCACUCAUAACGACGACGUCCAAAAGUACAUUUUUACACUCUUGACCUCGGAUCAGGUAGGGAUACCCGCUGAACUUAAGCAUAUCAAUAAGCGGAGGA
This 337-nucleotide unclassified non-coding RNA is filed under the name soil metagenome. RNAcentral describes it as "partial contains 5.8S ribosomal RNA, internal transcribed spacer 2, and large subunit ribosomal RNA". The stretch from base 1 to 120 matches the Rfam family "5.8S ribosomal RNA", at positions 35 to 154 of the family's 154-position model. The record is from RNAcentral.